This 508-nucleotide ribosomal RNA is filed under the name uncultured Glomeraceae. RNAcentral's name for it is "SSU rRNA". It matches the Rfam family "Eukaryotic small subunit ribosomal RNA", at positions 569 to 1078 of the family's 1831-position model. Lineage: Eukaryota; Fungi; Glomeromycota; Glomeromycetes; Glomerales; Glomeraceae. The record is from RNAcentral.
AGCAGCCGCGGUAAUUCCAGCUCCAAUAGCGUAUAUUAAAGUUGUUGCAGUUAAAAAGCUCGUAGUUGAAUUUCGGGAUCAGAUUGUCGGUCGUGCCUCGGUACGCACUGGCAUUAUUGGUUCCUACCUUCUGAAGAACCGCGAUGUCAUUAAUUUGGUGUCGUGGGGAAUCAGGACUGUUACUUUGAAAAAUUAGAGUGUUUAAAGCAGGCGCACGCUUGAAUACAUUAGCAUGGAAUAAUGAAAUAGGACGUUUGAUUCUAUUUUGUUGGUUUCUAGGAUCGACGUAAUGAUUAAUAGGGAUAGUUGGGGGCAUUAGUAUUCAAUUGUCAGAGGUGAAAUUCUUGGAUUUUAUUGAAGACUAACUACUGCGAAAGCAUUUGCCAAGGAUGUUUUCAUUAAUCAAGAACGAAAGUUAGGGGAUCGAAGACGAUCAGAUACCGUCGUAGUCUUAACCAUAAACUAUGCCGACUAGGGAUCGGAUGAUGUUAAUUUUUAAUUGUACUCA